Oreochromis aureus is the source of this 628-nucleotide long non-coding RNA. The record is from Ensembl. Lineage: Eukaryota; Metazoa; Chordata; Actinopteri; Cichliformes; Cichlidae.
GCCAUCGCUGUCCUCUUUCAUCCAAUGUGUUUACUAUUGUACUAGGUGUUAUGGUUCUUUCAUAAAUGUCACCAAUGCACAGCCUCCUCCCUCCAACUCCUCCAUAGACUCUAAUGUUAAAAUGGCUCAGAAGGUUCGUUUGAAAACCAGAAGUACAGGCUGUCUUUACACUGUCACCACGUCCAUAUAAUAAACUCCACAAGCAUGAAAACUGAGAAUUAGGUAGACUGGACAUUGCUGUCGCUCACGGUGAAAGAAUUUUGUCAAUAGGACCUGUACUUUUCAUUUGGGAGCGAUUUGUUUCGACCUGACUUUUCUGUUCAUUUUAAGCAGCAAAAGUGAGGUGCAUGUCUGUGUGCGUGUGUAUGGAGCCAUUGGGUGCAGUCACUAUAGCAACCAGGCUCACACCUGCCUGCCUAAUGAGCUCUCUCUCACUCUGCCAAGAUUCAUCUUAAACACUUCUCUUUCAACCACUGCUGUGUCCACAGUGUUUGCUCUACAGCCAUCAUUUUACCCUCAAAACGAAGCCAUCGUUGUUCUCUUUCCAACAGCAUGUCUUUCAAAGCUCAGAGAUGUAAACCUUUAAAAGUGUGUGGAUCCAAGUGGAGGGAUUACACUUUAGUCAUUC